RNAcentral lists this ribosomal RNA (253 nucleotides) under uncultured bacterium. RNAcentral describes it as "partial 16S ribosomal RNA". It matches the Rfam family "Bacterial small subunit ribosomal RNA", at positions 524 to 776 of the family's 1533-position model. The record is from RNAcentral.
UACGAAGGUGGCAAGCGUUGUUCGGAUUUACUGGGCGUAAAGGGAGCGUAGGUGGUGGGGUAAGCCCCGCGGGAAAGCUCCAGGCUUAACCUGGAAAGGUCGCGGGGGACUGCUUCGCUGGAGGACGGGAGAGGAGCGCGGAAUUCCCGGUGUAGCGGUGAAAUGCGUAGAGAUCGGGAGGAAGGCCGGUGGCGAAGGCGGCGCUCUGGAACGGCCCUGACACUGAGGCUCGAAAGCGUGGGGAGCAAACAGG